UACGGAGGGUGCGAGCGUUGUCCGGAAUCACUGGGCGUAAAGGGCGCGCAGGUGGCGCAGGAAGUCAACGGUGAAAGUUCGGGGCUCAACCCUGAAUCGGCCGUCGAUACUCCUGGGCUCGAGCACUGUAGAGGCAGAUGGAAUUCCGGGUGUAGCGGUGGAAUGCGUAGAGAUCCGGAAGAACACCGGUGGCGAAGGCGGUCUGC
Molecule: ribosomal RNA, 206 nt
Filed under: uncultured bacterium
Lineage: Bacteria
Description: partial 16S ribosomal RNA
Rfam family: Bacterial small subunit ribosomal RNA
Source: RNAcentral